GGCCGGAUAAGGCGUUUACGCCGCAUCCGGCGAUUGUGUGCUGAUGCCUGAUGCGACGCUGGCGCGUCUUAUCAGGCC
RNAcentral lists this non-coding RNA (78 nucleotides) under uncultured Escherichia sp. Its description in RNAcentral is "Nucleoid-associated noncoding RNA 4 (CssrE)". It matches the Rfam family "Nucleoid-associated noncoding RNA 4 (CssrE)". From Rfam's summary of the family: In E. coli small RNA transcribed from repeated extragenic palindromic element (REP325) called nucleoid-associated ncRNA 4 (nRNA4) collaborates HU protein in condensing the DNA. The secondary structure but not the sequence of the RNA is important in nucleoid condensation. Also identified in Shigella as CssrE. Lineage: Bacteria; Pseudomonadati; Pseudomonadota; Gammaproteobacteria; Enterobacterales; Enterobacteriaceae. The record is from RNAcentral.